RNAcentral lists this ribosomal RNA (468 nucleotides) under uncultured bacterium. Its description in RNAcentral is "partial 16S ribosomal RNA". It matches the Rfam family "Bacterial small subunit ribosomal RNA", at positions 28 to 507 of the family's 1533-position model. The record is from RNAcentral.
GACGAACGCUGGCGGCGUGCUUAACACAUGCAAGUCGAACGGAAAGGCCCUGCUUUUGUGGGGUGCUCGAGUGGCGAACGGGUGAGUAACACGUGAGUAACCUGCCCUUGACUUUGGGAUAACUUCAGGAAACUGGGGCUAAUACCGGAUAGGAGCUCCUGCUGCAUGGUGGGGGUUGGAAAGUUUCGGUGGUUGGGGAUGGACUCGCGGCUUAUCAGCUUGUUGGUGGGGUAGUGGCUUACCAAGGCUUUGACGGGUAGCCGGCCUGAGAGGGUGACCGGCCACAUUGGGACUGGGAUACGGCCCAGACUCCUACGGGAGGCAGCGGUGGGGAAUAUUGCACAAUGGGCGGAAGCCUGAUGCAGCAACGCCGCGUGCGGGAUGACGGCCUUCGGGUUGUAAACCGCUUUCGCCUGUGACGAAGCGUGAGUGACGGUAAUGGGUAAAGAAGCACCGGCUAACUACGUG